AGUGAACGCUGGCGGUAGGCCUAACACAUGCAAGUCGAACGGCAGCACCGUAAGAGCUUGCUCUUACGGGUGGCGAGUGGCGGACGGGUGAGGAAUACAUCGGAAUCUACUUUUUCGGGGGGGAUAACGUAGGGAAACUUACGCUAAUACCGCAUACGACCUACGGGUGAAAGCAGUGGAUCUUCGGACCUUGCGCGGUUGAAUGAGCCGAUGCCGGAUUAGCUAGUUGGCGGGGUAAAGGCCCACCAAGGCGACGAUCCGUAGCUGGUCUGAGAGGAUGAUCAGCCACACUGGAACUGAGACACGGUCCAGACUCCUACGGGAGGCAGCAGUGGGGAAUAUUGGACAAUGGGCGCAAGCAUGAUCCAGUCAUACCGCGUGGGUGAAGAAGGCCUUCGGGUUGUAAAGCCCUUUUGUUGGGAAAGAAAAGCAGCAGGUUAAUACCCCGCUGUUCUGACGGUACCCAAAGAAUAAGCACCGGCUAACUUCGUG
This 492-nucleotide ribosomal RNA is filed under the name uncultured bacterium. RNAcentral's name for it is "partial 16S ribosomal RNA". It matches the Rfam family "Bacterial small subunit ribosomal RNA", at positions 29 to 507 of the family's 1533-position model. The record is from RNAcentral.